This 255-nucleotide ribosomal RNA is filed under the name uncultured bacterium. RNAcentral describes it as "partial 16S ribosomal RNA". It matches the Rfam family "Bacterial small subunit ribosomal RNA", at positions 524 to 777 of the family's 1533-position model. The record is from RNAcentral.
UACGUAGGUGACCAGCGUUGUCCGGAUUUACUGGGCGUAAAGAGCGCGCAGGCGGUCGUUCAAGUCGAGUGUGAAAGCCCCCCGGCUCAACUGGGGAGGGUCAUUCGAUACUGAUCGACUUGAAGGCAGGAGAGGGAAGCGGAAUUCCCGGUGUAGUGGUGAAAUGCGCAGAUAUCGGGAGGAACACCGGUGGCGAAGGCGGUUCUCUGGGCCUGUACUGACGCUGAGGAGCGAAAGCGUGGGGAGCGAACAGGG